GAUGAACGCUGGCGGCAUGCCUAAGACAUGCAAGUCGAACGCGGAGGCCCACUGAAAGUGGAGUGCUUGCACAAAACUGGACGUGGAUUUUCCUCCGAGUGGCAAACGGGUGAGUAACACGUGGGUUACCUGCCUCUAUGUUGGGGAUAACAGUUGGAAACGAUUGCUAAUACCGAAUGUGCUCUACGGAGUAAAGGAGCCCUUAAAGCUUCGCAUAGAGAUGGGCCUGCGGUGCAUUAGCUAGUUGGUGGGGUAAUGGCCUACCAAGGCGACGAUGCAUAGCCGAGCUGAGAGGUUGAUCGGCCACACUGGGACUGAGACACGGCCCAGACUCCUACGGGAGACAGCAGUUAGGAAUAUUCGUCAAUGGGGGAAACCCUGAACGAGCAAUGCCGCGUGAACGAUGAAGGCCCUAUGGGUUGUAAAGUUCUGUUGUUUGGAGAGAAUAGCUAAAAGAGGAAAUGCUUUUAGUCUGACGGUACCAUUCAAGAAAGCCACGGCUAACUACGUGCCAGCAGCCGCGGUAAUACGUAGGUGGCGAGCGUUAUCCGGAUUUAUUGGGCGUAAAGCGUGCGCAGGCGGUUUGUUAAGUCUAAAAUUAAAGUCCGAAGCUUAACUUCGGUUCGUUUUAGAAACUGGCAGGCUUGAGUAUGGUAGAGGCAAACGGAAUUUCUAGUGUAGCGGUAAAAUGCGUAGAUAUUAGAAGGAACACCAGUGGCGAAGGCGGUUUGCUGGGCCAUUACUGACGCUCAUGCACGAAAGCGUGGGGAGCAAAUAGGAUUAGAUACCCUAGUAGUCCACGCCGUAAACGAUGAGUACUAAGUGUCGGGUUACCGGUGCUGAAGUUAACACAUUAAGUACUCCGCCUGAGUAGUACGGUCGCAAGGCUGAAACUCAAAGGAAUUGACGGGCACCCGCACAAGCGGUGGAGCAUGCUGUUUAAUUCGAAAAUACGCGAAGAACCUUACCUAGACUUGACAUCCCUGGCAAAGCUAUAGAAAUAUAGUGGAGGUUAUCCGGGUGACAGGUGGUGCAUGGUUGUCGUCAGCUCGUGUCGUGAGAUGUUUGGUUAAGUCCAAUAACGAGCGCAACCCUCGUCUUUAGUUGCUAACAUUUAGUUGAGAACUCUAAAGAGACUGCCAGUGCAAGCUGGAGGAAGGUGGGGAUGACGUCAAAUCAUCAUGCCCCUUACGUCUAGGGCUACAGGCGUGCUACAAUGGCCAGUACAACGAGUCGCAACACAGUGAUGUGAAGCUAAUCUCUUAAAGCUGGUCCCAGUCCGGAUUGGAGUCUGCAACUCGACUCCAUGAAGUUGGAAUCGCUAGUAAUCCCAAAUCAGAAUGUUGGGGUGAAUACGUUCCCGGGUGUUGUACACACCGCCCGUCACGCCAUGGGAGUCUGUAAUACCUGAAGUCGGUAGCCUAACCAGCAAUGGAGGGGGCCGCCCAGGGUAGGACAGGUGACUGGGGUGAAGUCGUAACAAGGUAUCCCUACGAGAACGUGGGGAUGGAUCACCUCCUUUCUAUGGAGUUAUUACUUAUAGGAAAAUAACCGUAUGAAACCUUCGGGGAUUGCACAUUUAUGUGAAAAGGUUUCGUGAAUUAGCUACAGUGACGAUUUUUACUUGGUUUUGAGAGAUCAUUCUCUCAGAUUUUGUUCUUUGAAAACUAGAUAAUGUAAUUUUGAGUAGUUGUUUCUUUCCUAAGAAAUGACAUUAAGAUCUCAAAACUCAUCAUUAGAUAACUUGAAAUUGGUGUAAAAUAAGUAAGUUAAAUUAAUAAGGGCGCAUGGUGGAUGCCUUGGCAUUAGAAGUCGAUGAAGGACGUGACAAACUACGAUAUGCUUCGGGGAGAUGUAAGUAAUCUAUGAUCCGGAGAUUUCCGAAUGGGGAAACCUACUAGAUUCGUCUAGUAUCCUAGAGUGAAUACAUAGCUCUAGAGAAGACAACCCAGUGAACUGAAACAUCUUAGUAACUGGAGGAAAAGAAAGAAAAAUCGAUUACCUUAGUAGUGGCGAGCGAAAAGGUAAGAGCCCAAACCAGUCUUAGGACUGGGGUUGUAGGACAUCAUAUACGGAGUUACAAAAUUUCUUGAUAGCAGAAUAUUCUGGAAAGGAUAGCUGGAAAAGGUGAAAGCCCUGUAUGCGAAAUCAUGAAAUCUCUUUGAUGUAUCCUGAGUACGGCGAGGCACGUGGAACCUUGUCGGAAUCUGCGAGGACCAUCUCGUAAGGCUAAAUACUCUCUAAUGACCGAUAGUGAACA
RNAcentral lists this ribosomal RNA (2260 nucleotides) under uncultured Thomasclavelia sp. Its description in RNAcentral is "partial contains 16S ribosomal RNA, 16S-23S ribosomal RNA intergenic spacer, and 23S ribosomal RNA". The stretch from base 1 to 1522 matches the Rfam family "Bacterial small subunit ribosomal RNA". The record is from RNAcentral. Lineage: Bacteria; Bacillati; Bacillota; Erysipelotrichia; Erysipelotrichales; Coprobacillaceae.